Molecule: ribosomal RNA, 365 nt
Filed under: uncultured bacterium
Lineage: Bacteria
Description: partial 16S ribosomal RNA
Rfam family: Bacterial small subunit ribosomal RNA
Source: RNAcentral
AGCGGCGGACGGGUGAGUAAUGCCUAUGACUCUGCCUGGUAGUGGGGGAUAACGUCCGGAAACGGGCGCUAAUACCGCAUACUCUCAGAUGAGCCUAGGUCGGAUUAGCUAGUUGGUGGGGUAAAGGCCUACCAAGGCGACGAUCCGUAACUGGUCUGAGAGGAUUAUCAGUCACAAGGGAACUGAGACAAGGUCCAGACUCCUACGGGAGGCAGCAGUGGGGAAUAUUGGAAAAUGGGCUAAAGCCUGAUACAGCCAUGCCGCGUGUGUGAAGAAGGUCUUCGGAGUGUAAAGAACUGUAAGUUGGGAGGCGGGACCAACAGAAUAAGCACAGGCUAACUUCGUGCCAGACGCCGAGGUAAUUC